UUAAAAAGCUCGUAGUUGGAUGCCUAGACUUUGCGACGGACGGCCCGCCUUCGGGUUGAGUGCUGGAAGCGCUAGCUUGUUUUCCGGUUUGUGUCCCUUCCCUUGACUGUGGCGGGGUUCACGAUCCGGAUCUGUUACUUUGAAGAAAUUCGGGUGUUCAAAGCAGGCUUAUGCCGUGAAGACUGCAGCAUGGAAUAACAACAUAGGGCUAUCGCGUCUCACUUUGUUGGUUCUGGGAUCGUAGCAAUGAUUGAUACGGACCGUUGGGGGUGCUGCUAUUCCGCGGCCAGAGGUGAAAUUCUCAGAUUCCCGGAAGAGCAACUUAUGCGAAAGCGUUCACCCAAGGAGGUUCCUGUUUAAUCAAGAACGGAAGU
RNAcentral lists this ribosomal RNA (374 nucleotides) under uncultured marine eukaryote. RNAcentral's name for it is "SSU rRNA". It matches the Rfam family "Eukaryotic small subunit ribosomal RNA", at positions 619 to 990 of the family's 1831-position model. The record is from RNAcentral.